UGAGGAAUAUUGGUCAAUGGACGGGAGUCUGAACCAGCCAAGUAGCGUGCAGGAUGACGGCCCUAUGGGUUGUAAACUGCUUUUAUAGGGGGAUAAAGUGUGCCACGUGUGGCAUAUUGCAGGUACCCUAUGAAUAAGGACCGGCUAAUUCCGUGCCAGCAGCCGCGGUAAUACGGAAGGUCCGGGCGUUAUCCGGAUUUAUUGGGUUUAAAGGGAGCGUAGGCCGUCUUAUAAGCGUGUUGUGAAAUGUCGGGGCUCAACCUGGGCAUUGCAGCGCGAACUGUGAGACUUGAGUGCGCAGGAAGUAGGCGGAAUUCGUCGUGUAGCGGUGAAAUGCUUAGAUAUGACGAAGAACUCCGAUUGCGAAGGCAGCCUGCUGUAGCGCAACUGACGCUGAAGCUCGAAAGCGUGGGUAUCGAACAGGA
RNAcentral lists this ribosomal RNA (425 nucleotides) under uncultured bacterium. Its description in RNAcentral is "bacterial SSU rRNA". It matches the Rfam family "Bacterial small subunit ribosomal RNA", at positions 355 to 777 of the family's 1533-position model. The record is from RNAcentral.